AUAACACAUUGGCCACAUCUCCAGUAAAUGUGGCAAUCAUACUAAAUCAUAAAAGGAAGUAUGAAUGCAAUGCUUGAGAAGACUAGGACUCUGAAAAUUGACACGAAGCAGAGUUAUGUGCUUGUAUGGAGGGAAUAUUCAUUGCCAUUCAGAGAUCAGAGUUGCCUAUUUGUGUGAAACUAGACACGCUAUCAGUAGUGAACGUGCUCAAAGAGAAGGAUCUAGACAGAUCAAUGUUUGCAUCAUUGAUUGCUGAGAUCAAUCAUCUUUUGCCUCCUCGUUUUGGUUCCGGCUUGCGAGAGGUAGUAAAGCAGAUUGUAAUGAUGAUGCUAUUUGAUUAAUGCAAGAUUUUACCCGUAAAAAAAGACAUAUAGGACAAGAUGUUCUCAACACGCAUGCCGUUACUACCAUAAGCUUGACAUUC
Long non-coding RNA from Triticum aestivum (bread wheat), 424 nucleotides. RefSeq lists it as uncharacterized. The record is from RefSeq and is a predicted model, not a curated record. Lineage: Eukaryota; Viridiplantae; Streptophyta; Magnoliopsida; Poales; Poaceae. The transcript has 3 exons.